This 573-nucleotide ribosomal RNA is filed under the name uncultured bacterium. RNAcentral's name for it is "partial 16S ribosomal RNA". It matches the Rfam family "Bacterial small subunit ribosomal RNA", at positions 355 to 919 of the family's 1533-position model. The record is from RNAcentral.
UGGGGAAUUUUGGACAAUGGGCGAAAGCCUGAUCCAGCAAUGCCGCGUGUGUGAAGAAGGCCUUCGGGUUGUAAAGCACUUUUGUCCGGAAAGAAAUCCUUGGCUCUAAUACAGUCGGGGGAUGACGGUACCGGAAGAAUAAGCACCGGCUAACUACGUGCCAGCAGCCGCGGUAAUACGUAGGGUGCAAGCGUUAAUCGGAAUUACUGGGCGUAAAGCGUGCGCAGGCGGUUUGCUAAGACCGAUGUGAAAUCCCCGGGCUCAACCUGGGAACUGCAUUGGUGACUGGCAGGCUAGAGUAUGGCAGAGGGGGGUAGAAUUCCACGUGUAGCAGUGAAAUGCGUAGAGAUGUGGAGGAAUACCGAUGGCGAAGGCAGCCCCCUGGGCCAAUACUGACGCUCAUGCACGAAAGUGUGGGGGAGCAAACAGGAUUAGAUACCCUGGUAGUCCACGCCCUAAACGAUGUCAACUAGUUGUUGGGGAUUCAUUUCCUUAGUAACGUAGCUAACGCGUGAAGUUGACCGCCUGGGGGAGUACGGUCGCAAGAUUAAAACUUAAAUGAAUUGACGGGGU